Molecule: long non-coding RNA, 1193 nt
Organism: Cavia porcellus (domestic guinea pig)
Lineage: Eukaryota; Metazoa; Chordata; Mammalia; Rodentia; Caviidae
Exons: 2
Source: RefSeq, a predicted model, not a curated record
CUUGGGCUGGGCUGGGUUCUGGCACCGACCAGAAAUUUAAUUUUUAAAUAACUGACUCAUGGGACUGACUCAUUCAUUUAAAUAUAGAUAGAACCUUUGUCUAUUUUUCUAAAAAAAAAAAAAAAGAAAAGAAAAGUCCUUUGUACACACAGGAACCAGCUCAAGAAGGACACGGGCAGCAGCCACGGAUCAAGUCCUGCCGUGCGUGGCCACUCACCAGUCAAGGAACAACUGGGCCACCCGGUCCCUCUGAGUGUGAAGUAGGGUCACAGCAGUAAGAAGGGGCUACUCCAGGCCCAGCCAGCCAGGAAGGCUUCUGGAUCCGGGAGAGAAACUCGUCAGAUCUGCUCAGCUUGGCUCUAGCACCUACAACUUACCAUGGCAGUGGCAAACGGUAACCACCUUAGUACAGUGCUGGACAUCACAAUGAGACUCAGAAUGUCAUGUGAGGAAGGGGAUCUUCUCCAGGAGAGAGCUGGUGGAGAGAGUUCAGCUUGGCAAGGCCAGACACCCUGAGGCUGUUCUGCACCCUUCUGCGGACCUGGUUGCCAGGAGAUGAGCUUCACCAGGGUGGUGAGCAAGACUGGGUCUCACCGUGGCUGUGACACUGGAGACCUUCCGUGGCUCUGUGGCACUCACCUGCCUCCUGUACUCAGCCUGAUGCAUUCAGGCUACGGGAACUUACGACACUGCCUGGUACUCUGCACAGUACCGGUGCCAACCGGCAGAUGAGGAACAAAUCUGAACUGGGCCUGACAGACACUGACUUCCACCGCUGCAGGGGCCUAUUCCAUUACAGACCUUGAACAGCUACCUUCCCCCUGCUGCCUGGCUCCCCUAGUCCCCCAGUGUCACUGGGACCAUGGACUGCACUAGCCCCAAAACGUUACCUCUAAGUUUACUUCUGGAAACCCAACCCCAGGCCCCUGUAAUUUCUUCUUCUUUUCUUUCUUUCUUUCUUUCUUUCUUUUUCUUUUCUCUCUCUCUCUCUCUCUCUCUCUCUCUCUCUCUCUCUUUCUUUCUUUCUCUUCUGAGACAGGAUCUUGCUGUACUCCAGGCUGGCUUCAACCUUGAAGAAAUCCUUCUGCCUCAGCCUCCUGAGUGCUAAUUACAGAUGUGCACCACUGUGCCGGUCACCCCUGUAAUCAUUAACAGUUGAGUUGUGAGAAAAGAUCAAAGCAUACAUGUUUCCA